Molecule: regulatory RNA element, 91 nt
Rfam family: PyrR binding site
About the family: This family represents the PyrR binding site and terminator structure. This RNA structure is found upstream of a variety of genes involved in pyrimidine biosynthesis and transport. The alignment also includes a portion of the antiterminator structure.
Source: Rfam
AAUACCUUUAACUUAGUCCCGUGAGGCUAGGAAGGAUUUAAUUGAGCGUUUAAGUACACCUUCUUAGCUAUUGCUGAGAAGGUUUUUCUUU